RNAcentral lists this ribosomal RNA (425 nucleotides) under uncultured bacterium. RNAcentral's name for it is "bacterial SSU rRNA". It matches the Rfam family "Bacterial small subunit ribosomal RNA", at positions 356 to 773 of the family's 1533-position model. The record is from RNAcentral.
GGGGAAUUUUGGACAAUGGGCGGAAGCCUGAUCCAGCCAUGCCGCGUGAGUGAAGAAGGCCUUCGGGUUGUAAAGCUCUUUCGGUGGGGAAGAAAUCGCCUGUGCUAAUACCAUAGGCGGAUGACGGUACCCGCAUAAGAAGCACCGGCUAACUACGUGCCAGCAGCCGCGGUAAUACGUAGGGUGCGAGCGUUAAUCGGAAUUACUGGGCGUAAAGCGUGCGCAGGCGGUUGUGUAAGUCAGACGUGAAAUCCCCGGGCUCAACCUGGGAACUGCGUUUGAGACUGCACGGCUAGAGGAUAGCAGAGGGGGGUAGAAUUCCACGUGUAGCAGUGAAAUGCGUAGAGAUGUGGAGGAAUACCGAUGGCGAAGGCAGCCCCCUGGGCUAUUACUGACGCUCAUGCACGAAAGCGUGGGGAGCAAAC